Molecule: unclassified non-coding RNA, 377 nt
Filed under: Zea mays
Lineage: Eukaryota; Viridiplantae; Streptophyta; Magnoliopsida; Poales; Poaceae
Description: misc RNA Zm00001eb057240
Source: RNAcentral
UCGUCAGAUCGUCGAUGAAUUCUGUGUAUCUGAAUGGAACCAUGAUCUGCAUAUGAUCGUUUCAGGGCAUGGUCAGCCAGGGAACAUGAUUUUGCAUUCAUACCCGGUAACUAAAACGAUGAGAAGCAAGCAAGCCAUCACUCACUCCCUUGAUAAUUUGUUUUUGAACGAAAUCCAAAAAAAAAUUAUCAGUACUGUCCUUACCAAAAUCAAAGACAUGUUACUUUUCAGAAGUUUUCCCUAUUCUUUUAGUAAAAAGGUUGGUUGGACAUGGACUAGUAAUAAAGCUUAUGCUCUACUACUUUUUGAAGAAAAAACAACUGAUGCACAUGUUUCACGUGUCUUAUUCUCACCAUGUCAAUUCCAGCACCAACACC